GAAGAAGAUAGAAGACAACAACAC
RNAcentral lists this non-coding RNA (24 nucleotides) under Cricetulus griseus (Chinese hamster). Lineage: Eukaryota; Metazoa; Chordata; Mammalia; Rodentia; Cricetidae. The record is from RNAcentral.